This 388-nucleotide ribosomal RNA is filed under the name uncultured eukaryote. RNAcentral describes it as "bacterial SSU rRNA". It matches the Rfam family "Bacterial small subunit ribosomal RNA", at positions 104 to 524 of the family's 1533-position model. The record is from RNAcentral.
GGGUGAGUAACGCGUAAGAACCUGCCCUUGGGAGGGGAACAACAACUGGAAACGGUUGCUAAUACCCCGUAGGCUGAGGAGCAAAAGGAGAAAUCCGCCCAAGGAGGGGCUCGCGUCUGAUUAGCUAGUUGGUGAGGCAAUAGCUUACCAAGGCGAUGAUCAGUAGCUGGUCCGAGAGGAUGAUCAGCCACACUGGGACUGAGACACGGCCCAGACUCCUACGGGAGGCAGCAGUGGGGAAUUUUCCGCAAUGGGCGAAAGCCUGACGGAGCAAUGCCGCGUGGAGGUGGAAGGCCUACGGGUCGUCAACUUCUUUUCUCGGAGAARAAACAAUGACGGUAUCUGAGGAAUAAGCAUCGGCUAACUCUGUGCCAGCAGCCGCGGUAAU